GAGUUUGAUCCUGGCUCAGAAUGAACGCUGGCGGCGUGCCUAACACAUGCAAGUCGGAUGUGCCGCAAGGUGCAUGGCAGACGGGUGAGUAACGCGUGGGGAAUCUACCUCUUUGUGGGGAUAACGCUCCGAAAGGAGUGGUAAUACCGCAUGAGAUCCAUGGCUGGGAUGCUGUGGAUGAAACCUGGGGACCGCAAGGCCUGGGGCAAGGAGAGGAUCCUGCGUCUGAUUAGCUAGUUGGUGAGGUAAUGGCCCACCAAGGCGACGAUCAGUAGCCGGCCUGAGAGGGUGAUCGGCCACACUGGAACUGAGACACGGUCCAGACUCCUACGGGAGGCAGCAGUGGGGAAUUUUGCGCAAUGGGCGAAAGCCUGACGCAGCAACGCCGCGUGGGUGAUGAAGGUCUUCGGAUCGUAAAACCCUGUCGUCGGGGACGAAGGUGGAGGGGUUAAUAGCCUCUUUGCUUGACGGUACCCGGAGAGGAAGCCCCGGCUAACUCUGUGCCAGCAGCCGCGGUAAUACAGAGGGGGCAAGCGUUAUUCGGAAUUAUUGGGCGUAAAGGGCGCGUAGGCGGCUUUUUAAGUGAGAUGUGUAAUCUCUGAGCUCAACUUGGGAACUGCAUCUCAUACUGGGAGGCUAGAGUACUGGAGAGGGUGGUAGAAUUCCACGUGUAGCGGUGAAAUGCGUA
Molecule: ribosomal RNA, 688 nt
Filed under: uncultured bacterium
Lineage: Bacteria
Description: bacterial SSU rRNA
Rfam family: Bacterial small subunit ribosomal RNA
Source: RNAcentral